Molecule: ribosomal RNA, 345 nt
Filed under: uncultured Latescibacterota bacterium
Lineage: Bacteria; Pseudomonadati; Candidatus Latescibacterota
Description: bacterial SSU rRNA
Rfam family: Bacterial small subunit ribosomal RNA
Source: RNAcentral
AAUGAACGCUGGCGGCGUGGAUCAGGCAUGCAAGUCGAACGAGAAUGUGAUCUUCGGAUUGCUAGUACAGUGGCGAACGGGUGAGUAACGCGUGGGAAACCUGCCCUCGAGUGGGGAAUAACAACUCUAACGGGUUGCUAAUACCGCAUAAUAUUGCGGGCCGCAUGGUCCGCAAUCAAAGGUGGCCUCUACUUGUAAGCUGUCGCUUGAGGAUGGUCCCGCGUCCCAUUAGCUAGUUGGUAGGGUAACGGCCUACCAAGGCGACGAUGGGUAGCCGGCCUGAGAGGGUGGUCGGCCACACUGGGAACUGAGGACACGGUCCGACGACUCCUACCGGGUGGGCAG